This 561-nucleotide ribosomal RNA is filed under the name uncultured bacterium. Its description in RNAcentral is "bacterial SSU rRNA". It matches the Rfam family "Bacterial small subunit ribosomal RNA", at positions 337 to 911 of the family's 1533-position model. The record is from RNAcentral.
UCCUACGGGAGGCAGCAGUGGGGAAUAUUGGGCAAUGGGCGCAAGCCUGACCCAGCAACGCCGCGUGAAGGAAGAAGGCCUUCGGGUUGUAAACUUCUUUGAUCAGGGAAGAAAAAAAUGACUGUACCUGAAAAACAAGUCACGGCUAACUACGUGCCAGCAGCCGCGGUAAUACGUAGGUGGCGAGCGUUAUCCGGAUUUACUGGGUGUAAAGGGCGUGUAGGCGGUUUCGUAAGUCGGAUGUGAAAUUCCCGGGCUCAACCCGGGCGCUGCAUCCGAAACUACAAAACUUGAGUACUGGAGAGGAUAGUGGAAUUCCUAGUGUAGCGGUAAAAUGCGUAGAUAUUAGGAGGAACACCGGUGGCGAAGGCGACUAUCUGGACAGUAACUGACGCUGAGGCGCGAAAGCGUGGGGAGCAAACAGGAUUAGAUACCCUGGUAGUCCACGCCGUAAACGAUGGAUACUAGGUGUAGGGGGUAUCGACCCCCCCUGUGCCGCAGUUAACACAAUAAGUAUCCCACCUGGGGAGUACGGCCGCAAGGCUGAAACUCAAAUGAAUU